Molecule: long non-coding RNA, 1716 nt
Organism: Felis catus (domestic cat)
Lineage: Eukaryota; Metazoa; Chordata; Mammalia; Carnivora; Felidae
Exons: 2
Source: RefSeq, a predicted model, not a curated record
CCCAUCCCGGAUGCUGACCUGAGGCUGGGGGGGCGGGGGUGGCAGGGAGGGGAUGGGGGUGUCGGGUUUCUCCUGGGGACGGAGAAUGGCAGCUCCCCACCUGGGAGCCCCCUCUCCUGCUGACGACGACCAGACCCCCACUGCUGUCUGGGGCCCUCAAAGCCACCACAGCCGCUACCUGUCCCCUCCAGGCCUCCAGCCUCUCAGCUAGGCGACCUGGGCCUGCGUGCCAACUGCUGAUCUCCUUCCCCUGGGAAUCGGCCAACCCCACCUGGCCACAGGCUCCUCGGGCACCCUCCCACACUGGUGUCUCUCCCUUCCCUCCCAGGACACCGGGACAGCCCUCACAAAUACCUUGUACUCCCCGGAGCCCUGGCCCUGGCCUCACCUGGCUGCCACCCCACAGGAGAAAACCACCCACUCAGGCCACCCUCCUCGCGGCCAGCCUGCACUUGGAGAGACCUACCUGGCAGGCAGCGCUUGAUCAAAGACCCCUCACCAAGGCCACAACACCUAAGACUCCUGAAGAAGGGGGUUUCACCAGCACCCAAGCCGGACCCGGGUCAGUAAACAAAUAUGCCUGAAGACACCGCACAGAGAGACUCUUUGUCUGGUGUCGGCAUUCAAGGAAACGCAGCUUCGUGCCAUCACGGCCCCAGAGUGGCGGCCUCAGACCUUCCUGACCCGACCCCUCCCACAGGCAGCAGGACAACGGGCAGCGUCCACGAGGGGGUUUUCGGGGCGAGUCUGCUCCCCACAAGGGCGCCCUUGUUCUCACAGAGGCCCGGCGGCCUCCGCGGGAGAUGGGAGUACUCGCUGCUCGCUGUGCAAGGUGUUAGACGCGAUCUGCACAGCAGCCCCUCUUUCCCUCGCCGCGGCGGGCGGUGUAGGCGCUGACAUCAAUGCCCGCGGUCACUCGGCGGGAAGUGGCUGAGCAGUGCUGGCCUCCUGCUCCCCCCGCCAGCCCCGGGGUGGGGGGGCGUCCUGAGCAGGACGGGGACGCCCGGCCGCCCAGCAAGCUGCAGACGGCUGGCCCGCUGCCUGGGGAGGACGGUUCCCCCCCCCCCGCCCCCCACCGGCUGAGUCAGGGGCCGCCUACCGCCCAGGCACCUCCCCCCGGCUCGCCAGCCCAGCUGGCAGGCACAGCUGGGGAGGGGGCUGCAGAGCUGGACGGGACACAGUUCACCGUGAGAGACAGCAAAACGGCAUUAUUUCUUAGCAUGAGAGUAUCUGGCCCAAAGGAACUGAAAUGCAGGCAAGGACUGGAACAGAAUCUCGCACGCCCCUGUGCACAGCGGCUGCCUCACAACGGCCGAAGGUGAAAACAACCCGUGUCCGUCCACGGAGAAGUGGGUCACAAAACGUGGCAGAGCCACAGGACGGAAUAGUAUUCAGCCUCAACGAGUAACAAAGUGCGACACCUGCUACGACGUGGAGGCACCCGACCUUGCCAACGCCGUGCGGAGUGAAAGAAACCAGACUUGAAGCAACAAAUACUGUGUGACUCCCUGUACGCGGAGGCCCCCACGGUCGUCAGAGUCACAGUGACAGAGCGGAAGGUGGGCGCCGGGGCCAGGGCGGGGCUGGGGAGUCCGUGUCCACUGGGGAGAGAGGUCCAGUGGGGGAAGAUGAGAAAAUUCUGGAGACGGAUGGUGUGGACGGUGCGUAUGUGCUUAAUGACCCUGACCUGUACACAAAAAUGGUUAAAAUGCUAAA